This 429-nucleotide ribosomal RNA is filed under the name Pseudomonas sp. RNAcentral describes it as "partial 16S ribosomal RNA". It matches the Rfam family "Bacterial small subunit ribosomal RNA", at positions 355 to 776 of the family's 1533-position model. Lineage: Bacteria; Pseudomonadati; Pseudomonadota; Gammaproteobacteria; Pseudomonadales; Pseudomonadaceae. RNAcentral also lists the same sequence under 1 other name. The record is from RNAcentral.
UAGGGAAUCUUCCGCAAUGGGCGAAAGCCUGACGGAGCAACGCCGCGUGAGUGAUGAAGGUCUUCGGAUCGUAAAACUCUGUUAUUAGGGAAGAACAAAUGUGUAAGUAACUAUGCACGUCUUGACGGUACCUAAUCAGAAAGCCACGGCUAACUACGUGCCAGCAGCCGCGGUAAUACGUAGGUGGCAAGCGUUAUCCGGAAUUAUUGGGCGUAAAGCGCGCGUAGGCGGUUUUUUAAGUCUGAUGUGAAAGCCCACGGCUCAACCGUGGAGGGUCAUCGGAAACUGGAAAACUUGAGUGCAGAAGAGGAAAGUGGAAUUCCAUGUGUAGCGGUGAAAUGCGCAGAGAUAUGGAGGAACACCAGUGGCGAAGGCGACUUUCUGGUCUGUAACUGACGCUGAUGUGCGAAAGCGUGGGGAUCAAACAGG